This 72-nucleotide transfer RNA is filed under the name Naegleria gruberi. RNAcentral's name for it is "tRNA-Arg (TCG) (tRNA-Arg-TCG-1-1)". It matches the Rfam family "tRNA". Rfam says of the family: Transfer RNA (tRNA) molecules are approximately 80 nucleotides in length. The record is from Rfam by way of RNAcentral. Lineage: Eukaryota; Heterolobosea; Eutetramitea; Acrasida; Naegleriidae.
GUGCGCUUAGCUCAGAGGAAGAGCAUCGGACUUCGAAUCCGAGGGUCGUGGGUUCGAACCCCAUAGUGCAUA